UAGGGAAUAUUGGUCAAUGGGUGAGAGCCUGAACCAGCCAUGCCGCGUGCAGGAAGAAGGCCUUCUGGGUCGUAAACUGCUUUUGCCGGGGAAUAAAAAGCCCAUGCGUGGGAAACUGAAGGUACCCGGUGAAUAAGCCACGGCUAACUACGUGCCAGCAGCCGCGGUAAUACGUAGGUGGCGAGCGUUGUCCGGAUUUAUUGGGUUUAAAGGGUGCGUAGGCGGCCAUGUAAGUCAGUGCUGAAAUAUCCCGGCUUAACCGGGAGGGUGGCAUUGAUACUGUGUGGCUUGAGUGGAGCCGAGGUAGGCGGAAUUGACGGUGUAGCGGUGAAAUGCAUAGAUAUCGUCAAGAACACCGAUAGUGAAGACAGCUUACUAGACUUCAACUGACGCUGAGGCACGAAAGUGUGGGGAUCAAACAGGAUUAGAUACC
Molecule: ribosomal RNA, 433 nt
Filed under: uncultured bacterium
Lineage: Bacteria
Description: bacterial SSU rRNA
Rfam family: Bacterial small subunit ribosomal RNA
Source: RNAcentral